GCGUGAGUGAUGAAGGCCUUAGGGUUGUAAAGCUCUUUCGUCGGGGAAGAUAAUGACGGUACCCGAAGAAGAAGCCUCGGCUAACUCCGUGCCAGCAGCCGCGGUAAGACGGAGGAGGCUAGCGUUGUUCGGAAUUACUGGGCGUAAAGCGUACGCAGGCGGUUGAUCAAGUCAGGUGUGAAAGCCCGGGGCUCAACCUCGGAAUUGCGCCUGAGACUGGUCAGCUAGAGUUCGGAAGAGGAGAGUGGAAUUCCCAGUGUAGAGGUGAAAUUCGU
Molecule: ribosomal RNA, 275 nt
Filed under: uncultured bacterium
Lineage: Bacteria
Description: partial 16S ribosomal RNA
Rfam family: Bacterial small subunit ribosomal RNA
Source: RNAcentral